RNAcentral lists this ribosomal RNA (484 nucleotides) under uncultured bacterium. RNAcentral's name for it is "partial 16S ribosomal RNA". It matches the Rfam family "Bacterial small subunit ribosomal RNA", at positions 30 to 507 of the family's 1533-position model. The record is from RNAcentral.
AUUGAACGCUGGCGGCAGGCCUAACACAUGCAAGUCGAGCGGAUGAAGGGAGCUUGCUCCUGGAUUCAGCGGCGGACGGGUGAGUAAUGCCUAGGAAUCUGCCUGGUAGUGGGGGAUAACGUCCGGAAACGGGCGCUAAUACCGCAUACGUCCUGAGGGAGAAAGUGGGGGAUCUUCGGACCUCACGCUAUCAGAUGAGCCUAGGUCGGAUUAGCUAGUUGGUGGGGUAAAGGCCUACCAAGGCGACGAUCCGUAACUGGUCUGAGAGGAUGAUCAGUCACACUGGAACUGAGACACGGUCCAGACUCCUACGGGAAGCAGCAGUGGGGAAUAUUAGACAAUGGGCGAAAGCCUGAUCCAGCCAUGCCGCGUGUGUGAUGAAGGUCUUCGGAUUGUAAAGCACUUUAAGUUGGGAGGAAGGGCAGUAAGUUAAUACCUUGCUGUUUUGACGUUACCAACAGAAUAAGCACCGGCUAACUUCGUG